Molecule: unclassified non-coding RNA, 329 nt
Filed under: uncultured fungus
Lineage: Eukaryota; Fungi
Description: partial contains 5.8S ribosomal RNA and internal transcribed spacer 2
Rfam family: 5.8S ribosomal RNA (bases 1-133)
Source: RNAcentral
UGGUUCUGGCAUCGAUGAAGAACGCAGCGAAAUGCGAUAAGUAAUGUGAAUUGCAGAAUUCAGUGAAUCAUCGAAUCUUUGAACGCACAUUGCGCCCUCUGGUAUUCCGGAGGGCAUGCCUGUUCGAGCGUCAUUUCAACCCUCAAGCCUGGCUUGGUGAUGGGGCACUGCCUUUGUCAAGGGGGCAGGCCCUGAAAUCUAGUGGCGAGCCCGCCGGGACCCCGAGCGUAGUAGUUUACACCUCGCUCCGGGAGGCCCUGGCGGCGCCCUGCCGUUAAACCCCCAACUUCUGAAAAUUUGACCUCGGAUCAGGUAGGAAUACCCGCUGA